AAGUCGUAACAAGGUUUCCGUAGGUGAACCUGCGGAAGGAUCAUUAACACGUAUCCAACGUUAAACCCCCCGUGCACACAGCGACCUGCUCCCCUCAAUUUCGGUCUUUUGGCAAUCCCUGGUAAAUCAUCGCCGAACAGUUUUGAUUCAGGGACAUCCAAAGGGCCGGGUAGGGUAUUAAGUAGUAGUCAAUGCAAAGCAACCUGGUUUCGGAGAACGGACCGAGUGGUAGUUCAAAGGUGUCUUCUGCCGCGCACUGUGGAAAGGAAGACGCUUUACGAAUCACUGUCCAACACGGUCAGUGACCGGGUUCCUGUCCUAGACCCCAUAUUCACCACCACAGUCGCAGACGAGGUAGGGAUACGUCCCUACCACCAAAUAAAUACUUGAACAACUGUUAACAAUGGAUAUCUUAACGAUGAAGAACGCAGC
Molecule: unclassified non-coding RNA, 432 nt
Filed under: fungal sp.
Lineage: Eukaryota; Fungi
Description: partial internal transcribed spacer region
Rfam family: Eukaryotic small subunit ribosomal RNA (bases 1-46)
Source: RNAcentral